GAGGCCUGCCUGCCCAGUGACAAACGUUCAACGGCCGCGGUAUCCUGACCGUGCAAAGGUAGCAUAAUCACUUGUUCCUUAAUUGGGGACUGGAAUGAAUGGCCUCACGAGGAUUCAACUGUCUCUUACCUCUAAUCAGUGAAAUUGACCUCCCCGUGAAGAGGCGGGGAUACAACAACAAGACGAGAAGACCCUAUGGAGCUUUAAUUUUCUGUCUUAACUACUAAAUAACUAACCCUACUGGGAUAAAAAAAAAGAGAAAUAAGUCAGUAAUUUCGGUUGGGGUGACCUCGGAGAAUAAAACAACCUCCGAAUGAUUUUAACCAAGACAAACAAGUCCAAAGUAUUAAAAAUCAAAUUGACCCAUUCAUUUGAUCAACGGACCAAGUUACCCUAGGGAUAACAGCGCAAUCCUAUUCAAGAGUCCAUAUCGACAAUUAGGGUUUACGACCUCGAUGUUGGAUCAGGACAUCCCAAUGGUGCAGCAGCUAUUAACGGUUCGUUUGUUCAACGAUUAAAGUCCUACGUGAUCUG
This 534-nucleotide ribosomal RNA is filed under the name Microtus thomasi (Thomas's pine vole). RNAcentral's name for it is "partial 16S ribosomal RNA". It matches the Rfam family "Bacterial large subunit ribosomal RNA", at positions 1850 to 2607 of the family's 2925-position model. Lineage: Eukaryota; Metazoa; Chordata; Mammalia; Rodentia; Cricetidae. The record is from RNAcentral.